Molecule: long non-coding RNA, 486 nt
Filed under: Anthonomus grandis grandis
Lineage: Eukaryota; Metazoa; Arthropoda; Insecta; Coleoptera; Curculionidae
Description: uncharacterized LOC126749379
Source: RNAcentral
AUGGACGUGGCUUACCUCGAGAUAGACGUGGAUUACCCUCAGAUGGACUGGCUUACCCUACUAGAAGAAUUCACCUUAAUUUGAUAAGGUAUAUCUUUGUACCGAAGAAAAUGAUAAAUGAAGAAGUGACUUACGUUUGUCUGUCUCCCUCGCACGAAUUCAUUGAUUUUCUACAAAGAAACCUAUACACAUUUUCACCGGAGUGAGGAGGCGUCAGAUGGCGCCCGCGGUAAGGUAUAAACAUAAACAGCUGAUUUUGACAGGUAAUAGAAAGUUUAUUUUUAUAUACAUAAAUGUUGUGCCAAUGUAUAGUGAAAAUUAUAUAAUGUGAAAGUGUUUAUUUACUUAUUAUAAAUUAGUGUGAAGGUGGGUAAACAACACGUGCAGCGCUGCACUUUGAACUUUAGUGUUUUCAGGGUUCCAAAAGUUCAAAAUGAGUUGUAAGAGGUCAUGCAUCAACUGUGCCAUUUAUCUUGCAGUUUUACU